This 466-nucleotide ribosomal RNA is filed under the name uncultured bacterium. Its description in RNAcentral is "partial 16S ribosomal RNA". It matches the Rfam family "Bacterial small subunit ribosomal RNA", at positions 28 to 507 of the family's 1533-position model. The record is from RNAcentral.
GACGAACGCUGGCGGCGUGCUUAACACAUGCAAGUCGAACGGAAAGGCCCUGCUUGCAGGGUACUCGAGUGGCGAACGGGUGAGUAACACGUGGGUGAUCUGCCCUGCACUUCGGGAUAAGCUUGGGAAACUGGGUCUAAUACCGGAUAGGAGCCAUCUUUAGUGUGGUGGUUGGAAAGUUUUUUCGGUGUAGGAUGAGCUCGCGGCCUAUCAGCUUGUUGGUGGGGUAAUGGCCUACCAAGGCGGCGACGGGUAGCCGGCCUGAGAGGGUGUACGGCCACAUUGGGACUGAGAUACGGCCCAGACUCCGACGGGAGGCAGCAGUGGGGAAUAUUGCACAAUGGGCGCAAGCCUGAAGCAGCGACGCCGCGUGGGGGAUGAAGGCCUUCGGGUUGUAAAAUCCUUUCGAUAGGGACGAAGCUUUGUUGUGACGGUACCUAGAUAAGAAGCACCGGCUAACUACGUG